ACAUUUCAAAAGAAUCCACAAAUAUAACAAAUUAACCAUAACAAUUGUAGUGUAUAAAAGAUUCAUCUUAUUUCGUGUUCACGAAAACAUGUCCUCGACUAAGAUGCUGUUCGGUUGUGUCGUUUCAAUAUUGGUCUUAUGCGAACUUGUUGAUGCAAAGGCUAUCGACAACGGCGAGUCAGACUUUUGCAAGGAUUUAAUGGAUUUAGUGAAAUCAUAUUACAAAGAUAAAACUAUGGACUCUGAUAAAGACAAUACUGAAGAUGAAGAUAAAAAGAAAGAAAAAUUAACAGAUUCAGAGGGAACAAAAUUAUUGACUUGGUUCAUGCCUCACCUUGAAGAACCUGAUGAAAAACUAAAAAAAUCUUAUAAACAACCAUUAGAGCGUCUCAUUUCGAGUUAUACGGAGUUCUUAUCAAAUUUGUUUAGGAUUUUUUGACAAAUAUAACACUUUUUAAUAUUGUUUUAUUUA
This is a long non-coding RNA of Leptidea sinapis, 472 nucleotides long. RefSeq lists it as uncharacterized. NCBI's taxonomy places the organism in Eukaryota, Metazoa, Arthropoda, Insecta, Lepidoptera, Pieridae. The record is from RefSeq and is a predicted model, not a curated record. The transcript has 4 exons.